Molecule: ribosomal RNA, 491 nt
Filed under: uncultured bacterium
Lineage: Bacteria
Description: partial 16S ribosomal RNA
Rfam family: Bacterial small subunit ribosomal RNA
Source: RNAcentral
AGUGAACGCUGGCGGUAGGCCUAACACAUGCAAGUCGAACGGCAGCACAGUAAGAGCUUGCUCUUACGGGUGGCGAGUGGCGGACGGGUGAGGAAUACAUCGGAAUCUACUUUUUCGUGGGGGAUAACGUAGGGAAACUUACGCUAAUACCGCAUACGACCUACGGGUGAAAGCAGGGGAUCUUCGGACCUUGCGCGAUUGAAUGAGCCGAUGUCGGAUUAGCUAGUUGGCGGGGUAAAGGCCCACCAAGGCGACGAUCCGUAGCGGGUCUGAGAGGAUGGUCAGCCAACAGGGAACUAAGAACCGGCCCAAAUCCCACAGGGGGGAAGCGGGGGGGAUAUUUGGAAAAGGGGGGAAAGCCUGACCCAGCCAUACCGGGGGGGUGAAGAAGGCCUUCGGGUUGGAAAGCCCUUUUGUUGGGAAAAAAAAGCAGCAGGUUAAUACCCCGCUGUUCGGACGGUACCCAAAAAAUAAACACCGGCAAACUUCGU